This 1512-nucleotide ribosomal RNA is filed under the name Campylobacter vicugnae. Its description in RNAcentral is "bacterial SSU rRNA". It matches the Rfam family "Bacterial small subunit ribosomal RNA". The record is from RNAcentral. RNAcentral also lists the same sequence under 2 other names. Lineage: Bacteria; Pseudomonadati; Campylobacterota; Epsilonproteobacteria; Campylobacterales; Campylobacteraceae.
UUUAUGGAGAGUUUGAUCCUGGCUCAGAGUGAACGCUGGCGGCGUGCCUAAUACAUGCAAGUCGAACGGACAAGUAAGAGCUUGCUCUUAUGAGUUAGUGGCGCACGGGUGAGUAAUGUAUAGUUAAUCUGCCCUACACUGGAGGACAACAGUUAGAAAUGACUGCUAAUACUCCAUACUCCUUCUUAACACAAGUUAAGUCGGGAAAGUUUUUUCGGUGUAGGAUGAGACUAUAUUGUAUCAGCUAGUUGGUGAGGUAAUGGCUCACCAAGGCUAUGACGCAUAACUGGUCUGAGAGGAUGAUCAGUCACACUGGAACUGAGACACGGUCCAGACUCCUACGGGAGGCAGCAGUAGGGAAUAUUGCUCAAUGGGGGAAACCCUGAAGCAGCAACGCCGCGUGGAGGAUGACACUUUUCGGAGCGUAAACUCCUUUUGUUAGGGAAGAACAAUGACGGUACCUAACGAAUAAGCACCGGCUAACUCCGUGCCAGCAGCCGCGGUAAUACGGAGGGUGCAAGCGUUACUCGGAAUCACUGGGCGUAAAGGACGCGUAGGCGGAUUAUCAAGUCUUUUGUGAAAUCUAAUGGCUCAACCAUUAAACUGCUUGAGAAACUGAUAAUCUAGAGUGAGGGAGAGGCAGAUGGAAUUGGUGGUGUAGGGGUAAAAUCCGUAGAGAUCACCAGGAAUACCCAUUGCGAAGGCGAUCUGCUGGAACUUAACUGACGCUAAUGCGUGAAAGCGUGGGGAGCAAACAGGAUUAGAUACCCUGGUAGUCCACGCCCUAAACGAUGUAUACUAGUUGUUGCUGUGCUAGUCAUGGCAGUAAUGCACCUAACGGAUUAAGUAUACCGCCUGGGGAGUACGGUCGCAAGAUUAAAACUCAAAGGAAUAGACGGGGACCCGCACAAGCGGUGGAGCAUGUGGUUUAAUUCGAAGAUACGCGAAGAACCUUACCUGGGCUUGAUAUCCUAAGAACCUUGUAGAGAUACGAGGGUGCUAGCUUGCUAGAACUUAGUGACAGGUGCUGCACGGCUGUCGUCAGCUCGUGUCGUGAGAUGUUCGGUUAAGUCCGGCAACGAGCGCAACCCACGUAUUUAGUUGCUAACAGUUCGGCUGAGCACUCUAAAUAUACUGCCUUCGUAAGGAGGAGGAAGGUGUGGACGACGUCAAGUCAUCAUGGCCCUUAUGCCCAGGGCGACACACGUGCUACAAUGGCAUAUACAAUGAGACGCAAUAUCGCGAGAUGGAGCAAAUCUAUAAAAUAUGUCCCAGUUCGGAUUGUUCUCUGCAACUCGAGAGCAUGAAGCCGGAAUCGCUAGUAAUCGUAGAUCAGCCAUGCUACGGUGAAUACGUUCCCGGGUCUUGUACUCACCGCCCGUCACACCAUGGGAGUUGAUUUCACUCGAAGCCGGAAUACUAAACUAGUUACCGUCCACAGUGGAAUCAGCGACUGGGGUGAAGUCGUAACAAGGUAACCGUAGGAGAACCUGCGGUUGGAUCACCUCCUUU